RNAcentral lists this ribosomal RNA (372 nucleotides) under uncultured organism. RNAcentral describes it as "bacterial SSU rRNA". It matches the Rfam family "Bacterial small subunit ribosomal RNA", at positions 526 to 896 of the family's 1533-position model. The record is from RNAcentral.
CAGAGGGUGCAAGCGUUGCUCGGAAUCAUUGGGCGUAAAGGGCAAGUAGGUGGUCUCAUUUGUCUUGUGUGAAAUCCUUGGGCUUAACUCAAGAAGUGCGCAAGAAACGGUGAGACUCGAGUUCUGGAGAGGGUCGUGGAAUUCCCGGUGUAGCGGUGAAAUGCGUAGAGAUCGGGAGGAACACCAGAGGCGAAGGCGGCGACCUGGACAGACACUGACACUCAACUGCGAAAGCGUGGGGAGCAAACAGGAUUAGAUACCCUGGUAGUCCACGCUGUAAACGAUGGGAACUAGGUUUGGUGGGUCUUGACCCCCGCCGAACCGGCGCUAACGCACUAAGUUCCCCGCCUGGGAAGUACGGUCGCAAGACUA